Molecule: long non-coding RNA, 1290 nt
Filed under: Salmo salar (Atlantic salmon)
Lineage: Eukaryota; Metazoa; Chordata; Actinopteri; Salmoniformes; Salmonidae
Description: lncRNA (ENSSSAG00000107610.1)
Source: RNAcentral
UUACUAUUUGAUUCUUCUCACUUUUGUUUGUAUUUUCACUUGCUUUGGCAAUGUAAACAUAUGUUUCCCAUGCCAAUAACUGAAUGCCAUUGAAUUGAAAUUGAAUUGAGUCUCAGUGCUCAGUGAGAGAGAGAGCCUCAUGGACAAACUCAAUGGCAGACCUGAACAGCUGGAGAUCCACUCAGAGUCGGUCUCUUAAUGCAGUCCUGCCACACAUAAUGAACUGAGGCCCUGCACAGCAGGAUACAUUUUACUCAGGAGCACACAAGUAGUCUCGGCUAGCUAGCUAGCAUCUACUGCUACCUCCUAGCCACACAACAGAGCAACAACAAACCCACACUCAUCUCAACAAUCUGCCUUGAAGUCUGUUGAGUGUCUGUUAUGACAAUGUGCUGAUAUAAAAGUUAUUUGCGGAUCUUCCUUUCAUGGUUUUUAAAACAACAAUUGGCCAAUAAAGCAGCAGAUCAAAAGCUAACAGCCUACGCUAGCUCCACGCAUCACCUCAUUCUCCUCAGGGGGAGAUUUGGCACCUCACUGCAAAGCCCGGCAACACAAUUACCUCAGCCUAAACCUGUCAGCAGACUAUUACAGCAGCUCGUGUGUGUGUUCGUGUGUGUGUGUCAACACACCAUUACAGCCCAAGCCACCUAUUAUGGGGAUGGGGAAUGGAGUCCAAAGCCAUUGUAGUGAAAAGGUGUUGUCAGAUAUAGGCUGGCGGAAUGUGGCUACAGGGUAUUUGAUGGUGGAGGUUGGCCUAUAGAGCAAUCAUGGCUUCUAAAAACAUGGUUAAAUCUGUAGGUUCUCCUCAGCACCCUUAAUACUGAACACUGAUGGUAUGGUGCAGCUGAUGGAAGGAUAUGGAAGAACACUGAUGGUAUGGUGCUGCUGAUGGAAGGUUCUGGAAGAACACUGAUGGUAUGGUGCUGCUGAUGGAAGGAUAUGGAAGAACACUGAUGGUAUGGUGCUGCUGAUGGAAGGAUAUGGAAGAACACUGAUGGUAUGGUGCUGCUGAUGGAAGGAUCUGAUCUGGAAGAACACUGAUGGUAUGGUGCUGCUGAUGGAAGAACACUGAUGGUAUGGUGCUGCCGAUGGAAGAACACUGAUGGUAUGGUGCUGCUGAUGGAAGGUUCUGGAAGAACACUGAUGGUAUGGUGCUGCUGAUGGAAGGAUAUGGAAGAACACUGAUGGUAUGGUGCUGCUGAUGGAAGGAUAUGGAAGAACACUGAUGGUAUGGUGCUGCUGAUGGAAGGAUCUGAUCUGGAAGAACACUGAUGGUAUGGUGCUGCUGAU